UGGGGAAUUUUGGACAAUGGGCGAAAGCCUGAUCCAGCAAUGCCGCGUGUGUGAAGAAGGCCUUCGGGUUGUAAAGCACUUUUGUCCGGAAAGAAAUCCUUGGCUCUAAUACAGUCGGGGGAUGACGGUACCGGAAGAAUAAGCACCGGCUAACUACGUGCCAGCAGCCGCGGUAAUACGUAGGGUGCAAGCGUUAAUCGGAAUUACUGGGCGUAAAGCGUGCGCAGGCGGUUUGCUAAGACCGAUGUGAAAUCCCCGGGCUCAACCUGGGAACUGCAUUGGUGACUGGCAGGCUAGAGUAUGGCAGAGGGGGGUAGAAUUCCACGUGUAGCAGUGGAAUGCGUAGAGAUGUGGAGGAAUACCGAUGGCGAAGGCAGCCCCCUGGGCCAAUACUGACGCUCAUGCACGAAAGCGUGGGGAGCAAACAGGAUUAGAUACCCUGGUAGUCCACGCCCUAAACGAUGUCAACUAGUUGUUGGGGAUUCAUUUCCUUAGUAACGUAGCUAACGCGUGAAGUUGACCGCCUGGGGAGUACGGUCGCAAGAUUAAAACUUAAAUGAAUUGACGGGGUCAUAGCUG
Molecule: ribosomal RNA, 579 nt
Filed under: uncultured bacterium
Lineage: Bacteria
Description: partial 16S ribosomal RNA
Rfam family: Bacterial small subunit ribosomal RNA
Source: RNAcentral